CUCGUGGUCUCGAGCUCGCGCGCUCUCAUCCCCUCCCCCGCGGCGUGCGGCGGGGCGGAGAAACGGCGGCGGCGGCGGCGGCAUCGGCAGCAGUAGCAGAGGCUGUAGCAUCGGACACCCUCCUCUCUCCCGCAAUCCGGUUCCUCUUCCCCCUCCUUCUCACUGUUUGUUGUGUGUUUGAUGUGUUAAAGCAGGAGCGAGAACCCGAGCAGCGCCAUGAGCAACACUACCGUCGUCCCCAGCACUGCAGGUCCGGGCCCCAGCGGCGGGCCCGGUGGCGGAGGUGGUGGUGGCGGCGGAGGCGGCGGCACCGAGGUAAUCCAGGUGACUAAUGUCUCCCCGAGCGCUAGCUCUGAGCAGAUGCGGACUCUCUUCGGUUUCCUAGGCAAGAUCGACGAACUGCGCCUCUUCCCGCCGGAUGAUUCGCCUUUGCCAGUCUCAUCUCGUGUCUGCUUUGUUAAGUUCCAUGAUCCAGACUCAGCAGUUGUGGCACAGCAUCUGACAAACACUGUAUUCGUUGACAGAGCUUUGAUAGUCGUACCAUAUGCAGAAGGUUUGUGCUUUGUUUAACUACCUAUGUGGGCAUCCUAAGAUGACCAUCUACCUCAGUAGAUGUAGAGUGAGCAUUAGUAGCAUGUUAAAUCUAAGCUAUUAACAUUUUUAAACCCUUGUUAUACUGCAGUCCGUAAUUUUUGCUUGCAGAUUUUUUUUAAUUCUAAAAAUUAGAAAUUAGGUCUGUUAUUAUAAGGUAUUUACCUUUUGUUUUCUUUUAAAACAUUUUUAAGUUGUUUAAAACCAUGUCCCUUAUUGUAACUCCCUGAGAUACAUCUACUUAGUUAAUUUAAUGUUAAGUUUUAUGAAAAAGCCCUGAAGGUAAAUGAUUCACUCCAUGUAUGCUUACAGAGCCUUCAAAUAAAUGCAUGAUGUUAUUUCUGUUUUAAAUAAAUGAGUAGGUUGAUUUUAUUUUCUUAAAGCUUCCUCACAUUGAUAAUC
This 993-nucleotide long non-coding RNA is filed under the name Homo sapiens (human). RNAcentral's name for it is "long non-coding RNA NONHSAT149138.1". Lineage: Eukaryota; Metazoa; Chordata; Mammalia; Primates; Hominidae. The record is from RNAcentral.